AUUGGGCAUCUAACCUCGAACCCUGAAUCGGGUUUAGGGACAGUGCCUGGCGGGUAGUUUAACUGGGGCGGUUGCCUCCUAAAAUGUAACGGAGGCGCCCAAAGGUCGGCCGCAUCCAGGGCGCCACCGCAAUGCCCGCGCAUCGGGCUGAUUCGGCUUGGUCAGAAACUGUGUUCGUCAGCGGGGAAUACCCCGCCGGCCACCUCUUGGGCGUAUUGCAUUGCAGCACGGCGUAGUUCACCACCGACAUCGGCAUACCGUUUGACGAAGCGGGCGGUCUUGGCGCCGCUGAAC
Molecule: ribosomal RNA, 294 nt
Filed under: Klebsiella pneumoniae
Lineage: Bacteria; Pseudomonadati; Pseudomonadota; Gammaproteobacteria; Enterobacterales; Enterobacteriaceae
Description: partial 23S ribosomal RNA
Rfam family: Bacterial large subunit ribosomal RNA
Source: RNAcentral